UGGGGAAUAUUGCGCAAUGGGCGGAAGCCUGACGCAGCGACGCCGCGUGAGGGAUGACGGCCUUCGGGUUGUAAACCUCUUUCAGCAGGGACGAAGCGUGAGUGACGGUACCUGCAGAAGAAGCACCGGCCAACUACGUGCCAGCAGCCGCGGUAAUACGUAGGGUGCAAGCGUUGUCCGGAAUUAUUGGGCGUAAAGAGCUCGUAGGCGGUUUGUCGCGUCGGCUGUGAAAGCCCGGAGCUCAACUCCGGGUCUGCAGUCGAUACGGGCAGACUUGAUUGUUGCAGGGGAGACUGGAAUUCCUGGUGUAGCGGUGAAAUGCGCAGAUAUCAGGAGGAACACCGGUGGCGAAGGCGGGUCUCUGGGCAACAACUGACGCUGAGGAGCGAAAGCGUGGGGAGCGAACAGG
RNAcentral lists this ribosomal RNA (409 nucleotides) under uncultured prokaryote. RNAcentral's name for it is "bacterial SSU rRNA". It matches the Rfam family "Bacterial small subunit ribosomal RNA", at positions 355 to 776 of the family's 1533-position model. The record is from RNAcentral. RNAcentral also lists the same sequence under 1 other name.